UAAUACGUAGGUGGCAAGCGUUGUCCGGAUUUAUUGGGUUUAAAGGGUGCGUAGGUGGUCUAUUAAGUCAGUGCUGAAAUAUCCCGGCUUAACCGGGAGGGUGGCAUUGAUACUGAUGGACUUGAGUAAAGUUGAGGUUGGCGGAAUUGACGGUGUAGCGGUGAAAUGCUUAGAUAUCGUCAAGAACACCUAUAGCGAAGGCAGCUAACUAAGCUUUAACUGACACUGAUGCACGAAAGUGUGGGGAUCAAACAGGAUUAGAUACCCUGGUAGUCCACACUGUAAACGUUGAUGACUCGCUGUUGGCGAUACACAGUCAGCGGCUUAGAGAAAUCGUUAAGUCAUCCACCUGGGGAGUACGCCGGCAACGGUG
This 373-nucleotide ribosomal RNA is filed under the name uncultured bacterium. Its description in RNAcentral is "bacterial SSU rRNA". It matches the Rfam family "Bacterial small subunit ribosomal RNA", at positions 521 to 896 of the family's 1533-position model. The record is from RNAcentral.